GUCCGUUUGAAGAUAUAAACGGUCUGGCCUGCUCACUGAUAAGAGAAUUUAAGAGCCGCGGUAUAUUGACCGUGCAAAGGUAGCAUAAUCAUUAGGGGUUUAAUUGGAACCUGGAAUGAAGGGUUGGACAAAGGAGAAACUGUCUUUACGUUGAAAGUUGAAUUUUACCUUUAAGUGAAAAGGCUUAAAUAUAUCAAAGGGACGAUAAGACCCUAUAAAGCUUUAUAGAUAAUUUAAGUCCGGUUGAUUUCAAAAAUAAAAACUGAGUUUAAUUAUUCUAUUUUAUUGGGGUGAUAUGAGUAUAAUUGUUAUUAACUGCUUAAUAAAAAUACUGAUAUAAAAGAGUUGAUUAGUACAUGAUCCUUACUAAAGAUUAGAAAGCUAAGUUACUUUAGGGAUAACAGCGUUAUUUCUUUUGAGAGUUCAUAUCGAAAAAGAAGAUUGCGACCUCGAUGUUGAAUUAAAAUAUCUAUAUAAUGCAGCCGUUAUAAAAGAGGGUCUGUUCGACCUUUAAAUUUUU
This 520-nucleotide ribosomal RNA is filed under the name Xantho poressa. RNAcentral's name for it is "partial 16S ribosomal RNA". It matches the Rfam family "Archaeal large subunit ribosomal RNA", at positions 1917 to 2666 of the family's 2987-position model. Lineage: Eukaryota; Metazoa; Arthropoda; Malacostraca; Decapoda; Xanthidae. The record is from RNAcentral.